CUCGACCUGCUCCCUCUUGGGAGGCAGGAAAUGCUAUACUGACCGAUCCUCACUCAGAAAUGGGUGAGGAGAUGGGCUGUCACCUCUACCUGGUCAGGCAGAGUGACCCGGUGGCUUAACAUAGGACGGCCCCCUACAACCCAGGGGACACGGUAAAUAUUCGUCCACUAAGUCAUAUGCCAAUCUGGUGCCCACGUCCCCCCUUACACAAUCACUCUCACACUCACUCUCACAGUCACUCAUCAAUCAAUCAACUCACCUUCAGGGUUUCAGCACAAGAGCUGGGAGAGCCUUCCCUUUGUCCUGGUGUUUCCUAGAGGGGUCCUACUACCAUCCCGGCGAGACCCCAUAUGUUAGGGUCCGAGUGGAAGUACCUCACAAAGGAACAUGCAGAGACAAUGCAACAGGCAGCAGGGAGAGGUUUAUUUACUAGGUUAGGAUGGUUCCCCAAAAGAACCGUCCUGGGGCAAACCCAAGAGUGCAUAUUUAUAGAGAGUAGCUUAAAGGGAGGAUUCAACAGCUGUGGCCUUGGGUAGAGAGACUUACAGCUUUCCUAGGAUAUCUGUCUUGACUGUGGCCUUGCAGUUCUUCCAGGAUGUCUAUCUACUAUGGCCUUGCAGUUUCUUGGAACUUGUUCAUUUGGACAUAGUGCAACCCCCCUUCCCUUCAGCUGAAGUCAAAAAUGUGCACAAAAGAACAGAUCCUAGAGUUGCUGGAGCAGUUCCUAACCAUCUUUCCCCAAGAGGUCCAGUCCUGGGUGAGAGAACAUCAUCCAAAGAAUGGAGAGGAAGUGGUGAAUAUAUUGGAGAAUAUGUAGAGAAAGCCUGAUGAGCCAGGACAGCAGAUGGGAAUGGAUAGGGGAAGAUCAGGUCUAGGAACAGGGAAACAAAACAGCAAUGGCAGGAACCCUGAAGCUGGAUUUCCCAAACUGUGCUUACAAACAGGACGUCCUUUCAGAAGAGAUGGUACAUACAGUACAAGAAGUACAAGCACAGCCAGCUCCAGAGUAUGGAAGCCCAGGUCAAGUGUCAGUUUCCAGAGCUUCAUGCCUUAUAAGAGAGAGGUAAGUUUUAGAAUUUGAAACUUUUUGGUCUUAUGAAGUCUGUAGAAGAUAAGGUAGGACCCUGAUUGAUUUUUGAGGUUUCUUAGAUAGUUAUUAAACUAUGACAGGUAUAUAUAUUCAAGGAUAGAUGAAAUCAUGCUUCUGUGCACAUGCAAAAUAUAAAAAAUUCUGCCAAGAGUUGUGACCUGAAUUAAUCUAAGCUUUUCCUUCUUCUUCAUUCCUCCACAACAUGUAAAGGAUAGAAUAAAUCCUUUUGCCUCUCUGGAUUAUUCA
RNAcentral lists this long non-coding RNA (1336 nucleotides) under Monodelphis domestica (gray short-tailed opossum). RNAcentral's name for it is "lncRNA (ENSMODG00000042179.1)". The record is from RNAcentral. Lineage: Eukaryota; Metazoa; Chordata; Mammalia; Didelphimorphia; Didelphidae.